CGCGAAUCCCAGACUGGCGUCAUCGUACGCUCGGCACGCCUCUGUUGCAAUAAUAUUUUUUCACCGAGCUCGCAAUAAUCGAGAGUACUUUUCACACCACACCCUUCAUAUUCACUCCAAACGCUUAUUACUUUUAAACCAUGUGCUGUAAUCCUGGUUAUGAUGAUAAUAAUAAUGAUAUUGUGAAUACAAGACGAUUUAUAUAAAACGCAAGUCACACUUGGCUCAUACUAUCAAUUUACACUGAUCACUCGCUACUGAAACUUAUAUUUAUUAUCGCAGAUGUCGCGCUCAGAUAAGAUUAAAAAUAUCGAAAAUCCAAGUCGCUCCCAAUGAAAUAAUUAUUUAAAAAUAAAAAAGUGUCUUGUUAGUUAUUAGAUAAAUGGAGUACUAAUUAUAGUUUAAAUAAUGUAGAACGUCAGUGACCUUGAAAAAUAUAAAAAGUAACAAAAUGUAGUACGACCGGUUUUGGAAGCUCUGAUAUGUGACAAACAUGGACUUGGAUGAGCAUGACGUCAAUUCUAUACGGUCUUGUACCAACUUUUACGUCUUUGGAUGGACAUGCCGAUUAAAAUAUGGACUAAAAGUAAUGAAUAAAAUGCUAACGACGUUUGCUCUUAAUGACGAAUCCCGAUGCCUGCUGCACAAUAAAACAGUAUCGGUAAUAACAACAACAAAUGUCGACUAGUGUGGUAUUUGUGGGUGUACUUUAAAUAACGCUCAGUAUGCACACAAUCAUCCAUGUUUGCACUCGAUACAUAUAUAACAAUAUGUCGUAUUGUGUAUACAUUUAUCCAUAUAUAUAUAUGUAAGUGAUUAGAGAAGGAACGACGAGUGUAGCAUGACGAAAUGCGUGUAGUUAUCAAACAGGUGGUGCUGCUCACCUGUAGCUUGUACUUAUUUUCUAAAAACAAUUUUUAUUUAUAAUAAUAUUUAUGACUAUUUAAUACUGUCAUUACUAUAAUUAUUAUGGUCUAUGGUUAUUUAAAUGAAAAUUUAUUUAAAGACUCGGCAAUAAUUUUUAAAAAUCCCGUGGAAAAUUUUUUAUGCUGCUGCCGGUAGUUAAAAUAAAUAUGACAGCCGCAAGUGAUAAGAAACUGACGUAAGAAGAAUUAAAAUUUUUAAAUAUAAAUGAAGUAAUAAAAUUAUUUUUAAAAAUGUGAGCAUUGGUAAUUUAGUGAAGAGUUCCAUUAAUGGUCAGUUGAUUUUUUAAAAUUGUAACCAAGUUUAAAUAAUUAUUGUAAUGAAUAAAUUAGGACAAGAUUAAAAAAGGAAAAAAAUAAUAAAAUGUUAAGAGCUUGGAGAUGUUGAGGAAGAAGGUCACGGAUACUUGGAGAAGGUAAAGACCGGAGUUCCAGCACGGUUAAGAUAUUACAGUGUAUCAAGAAAUUGCCUAAAGCGUUAAGCUAUUACCGUUACAUCUAUCUCGGGUAUUGGUAUCCUAAUAAAACAAUACUGUUAUCAAAAUAAUUAUAUUGUUAUUCAUAUCAGCACGCGAGCAAUAACCAUCGCUUUGUAUCUCGGGUGUAUCUUAUCUUAUCAAUUGGCAAUUAGGAUGAUCUAAUAAUUUUUAAUAGGCUCGAGGUCCGAGAAGUAUUGAAUAGUUUGAUUGGUAUUUUUUUUUAUGGAGUUUCCAGGUAUGCCAGUGGUUAGAUUUAUAAAUAAAUGUGACGUUGCAAAGAAUGUGAAUGUAAUGAGACAAUUUAUAAAUUUUAAAAAACGCCCGUACUUUUAAAUUUUCUAAAUGUGAAUUUUUUUAUUUUUACUCCACUCAUUUAUUUGAAAAUUUUAAAAAGUGCCAAGUGUCAAAAACAUUCAAAUCCAUACGUCAGAAGUUGCAGACAAUUUUUAAUUUUAGGAUUUUUUUUUUUCAAAAAUUACAAAAAAAAAGGCGCGUUUUUUAAAAUACUUUUUUUUUAUAAUUUAUGAUUUUUUAAAAAAUUCAAAAAAUUAUUAGACGUCGGCUAGCUUAUCAUGAAAAAAUAAUGAACUUACAAAGCCAGAAGCUGCUUUGUCUCUUCUAUUAGCCAUCUCCGGAUACUGUUAUGUUAUCGUUUGGUAAUCAUUUCUUUUCCUGUAAACAAUUAUACUCUCGUUAAUGAUAAAUGACAUUUUUUAAAUUUUAAUUCAUAUUUUUUAAAAUUACAAUACUUUUAAUUUAAAAAAAUGGAGUUAACUGUAACCUAUUUCCAGAAUUAUAAGAAAAAAAAUUUAAUUGAUGACAUCAUGACUUGUAAUAAACUAAAAAAAUAAUAAUAACGCUCUCUUUGAACAAAUUAAAUAACUUACCAAUAAUAAUUAGCAAUUUCCGUUGCUGUCAACUCUAUCAUUAAAAAUUUUAAGACAAUUGCAUCUUGUAAAUUAAAUAAUUAAAUUACUGUACACAAUUAACGAUUAAAAAAUACUGUAUUAAAAAUAUAUAAAAACUGUAUUUGUAUUUAAAUAUAAUGUUAUUUUAUUAUUA
This is a long non-coding RNA of Microplitis mediator, 2464 nucleotides long. RefSeq lists it as uncharacterized. The transcript is spliced from 4 exons. Lineage: Eukaryota; Metazoa; Arthropoda; Insecta; Hymenoptera; Braconidae. The record is from RefSeq and is a predicted model, not a curated record.